GCAAAGGACAGGCACAAGAAGAAUCUUCUGGAAGUUCAGACCUAUAUCAGCAUCCUGCAGCAGAUCAUCCACACCACUCCUCCAGCAUCCAUUGUGACGAGUGGGAUGAGGGAGGAGAAGCUCCUGACGGAGCGGGAGGUGGCCGCCCUGCGGAGUCAGCUGGAGGAGGGCCGGGAGGUGCUCUCCCACCUGCAGGCGCAGAGAGUGGAGCUGCAGGCACAGGUAUUUGUUGAAUAUCAAAAUAAGAAAUUUCACAACAGAUUAACCUGGUUUCUGAGAACAUGAAAUGAAACCGCUGGUUGGCCGCCUGUUUCUGUCCUGAGUGGCUGCAGGAGGACUUCCUGGCUUUUCCCUGCUGCCCUCGUCUCUAAAGCAGGGUCUCAAACAUCUCUUCUGUGCUGCCUCCUCCACUCCCACCCGUGGCAUUCUGAUGGAGACCGCUUCUCAGAAAAAUGAUGGUAAAGGCAUAAAAUAAAAUACAGAUAAUUUAAAGGAAA
RNAcentral lists this long non-coding RNA (497 nucleotides) under Homo sapiens (human). Its description in RNAcentral is "non-protein coding lnc-RRBP1-2:1". Lineage: Eukaryota; Metazoa; Chordata; Mammalia; Primates; Hominidae. The record is from RNAcentral.